AUCCAUGUAUCAUUUUUGUAUAAGUUAUGAAUAUUGGCUGUGUACUGGCUUGAUUUUAACUAGCCCAGUAGGGCAUUUUGUCAGCUUCUUGAGAAAAGUGCCCAAUCAAAAACCACUUAAUCCAACAAUGAACUUGAAGAUGACAAUUCACACCUGAGCCUUCCCAGGAAUGUGGCUUGGCUGGUAAAAACUGAGUCAUGCAUGGACACGUGGCUUGCCGAUGUGACUCAAAAACUCCAUCUUGGACCUGGACUUUGCACAGGAGGGGGGAGGAGGUCUCCAUCC
This is a non-coding RNA of Chelonoidis abingdonii (Abingdon island giant tortoise), 285 nucleotides long. The record is from RefSeq and is a predicted model, not a curated record. NCBI's taxonomy places the organism in Eukaryota, Metazoa, Chordata, Testudines, Testudinidae.